This 253-nucleotide ribosomal RNA is filed under the name uncultured bacterium. RNAcentral's name for it is "partial 16S ribosomal RNA". It matches the Rfam family "Bacterial small subunit ribosomal RNA", at positions 524 to 776 of the family's 1533-position model. The record is from RNAcentral.
UACGUAGGGGGCAAGCGUUGUCCGGAAUCAUUGGGCGUAAAGAGCGUGUAGGCGGCCAGAUAAGUCCGCUGUGAAAUCUCGAGGCUCAACUUCGAGCUGUCGGUGGAAACUGUCUGGCUAGAGUCCGGAAGAGGAGAAUGGAAUUCCUGGUGUAGCGGUGAAAUGCGCAGAUAUCAGGAAGAACACCAGUGGCGAAAGCGGCUUCCUGGUCCAGCACCGACGUUCAGGCACGAAAGCGUGGGGAGCAAACAGG